RNAcentral lists this ribosomal RNA (406 nucleotides) under uncultured bacterium. Its description in RNAcentral is "partial 16S ribosomal RNA". It matches the Rfam family "Bacterial small subunit ribosomal RNA", at positions 30 to 526 of the family's 1533-position model. The record is from RNAcentral.
AUUGAACGCUGGCGGCAGGCCUAACACAUGCAAGUCGAACGAGUGGCGGACGGGUGAGUAAUGUCUGGGAAACUGUCUGAUGGAGGGGGAUAACUACUGGAACCGGUAGCUAAUACCGCAUAACAUCAGAUGUGCCCAGAUGGGAUUCGCUUGUUGGUGGGGUAACGGCUCACAAAGGCGACGAUCCCUAGCUGGUCUGAGAGGAUGACCAGCCACACUGGAACUGAAACACGGUCCAGACUCCGACGGGAGGCAGCGGGGGGAAAUAUUGCACAAUGGGCGAAAGCCGGAUGCAGCCAGGCCGCGUGUAGGAAGAAGGCCUUGGGGUUGUAAAGUACUUUCAGCGGGGAGGCGUUACCCGCAGAAGAAGCACCGGCUAACUCCGUGCCAGCAGCCGCGGUAAUUC